CGGGGCGUGGCUCAGUUGGUAGAGCGUGGCGCUAAAAGCGCUAUGACCUAUCGCAAUUGCUGAACGAAGCUCGAACCUUUUUUGAGCAACAAUUUCUAGCGCUGCCUGCCCCGU
This 114-nucleotide transfer RNA is filed under the name Patescibacteria group bacterium. RNAcentral's name for it is "tRNA-Phe". The record is from RNAcentral.